RNA transcript from Populus euphratica (Euphrates poplar), 1250 nucleotides. It is a transcript of the gene named Chaperone DnaJ-domain superfamily protein, with no coding region annotated. The record is from RefSeq and is a predicted model, not a curated record. The transcript has 8 exons. Lineage: Eukaryota; Viridiplantae; Streptophyta; Magnoliopsida; Malpighiales; Salicaceae.
AGGGUAACCUAAACCUUAUUUCUCUUUUGGCCCUUUGACUCAACGUGCAUGAUACGUGCAUCUGAGAGCAAUAAAACCAGAAAAAUAAAGGGGAGGUGAUACCAAACGGAACUCGGAGAUCCAAUUACAAUUUACAAAUCCAAAGAACCUCUCCUUCCAUUCCAUUUUUUUCAUUCUCUCUUUCAAAGGAAUCCAAAAUCCGCCCCAAAAUAUAUCCCCCAUUCUUAUUUUUAUUCCAAUUUUUCAAAUAUCCUCGUUCAAUUUCAUUACUUUUGAGAAGUUCCCAUCAAUAUCCGUUUUUUUUUUUUUUGGUUUUAUGAGAUGAAGUUUUAUGCACAAAUUUCUCUCCACAACAAACCCAUCAUCGUAGCAUAUGGAAGACAAUGAAAACACUGCUCAAAAGAUCAACAUAUCCUCAUCAACUUCCAGGUCUUGUUCAACUGUUGGUACCUUUCAUCUGGUUUGGCAGGAUUACUACAAGAUUUUGGAGGUUGAUUAUGAUGCAACAGAUGAGAAGAUAAGAUUAAAUUACCGAAUGCUUGCACUGAAGUGGCAUCCUGAUAAGCACCUGGGUGAUAGUGUAGUUACCGCCAAAUUUCAAGAUAUCAGUGAAGCUUAUAAAGUGUUGAGUGAUCCAGCUAAACGAUUUGAAUAUGAUUUAACUGGAAUAUAUGAGAUUGAUAAGUAUACCGUGCGGGAAUAUCUCGCCAGAUUUAAAGGAAUGAUACUUACAUGCAAUGGGCUUGGUAUCAGUAAUACAUCAACAUGUGCAGGACCCAGCAACUGACUGAAACCAAAGACUUGGCAGAAAAAUAGGGUGCGAUUCCAGCCUUGAACCUAUGGAUGAAAGCAUGAAUACCAUGGUGUGAAAACAACGUUGGAACAAUCAAGUAAUAUAUAGAUGCAGGUGGAGCUGGUUGCGAUGUUCCAUUACAGAUGAAAAUGUUAACAAUCUAGAAGAUGAGCUCAAUUGGAUUCACAUACACUCUUCUAGUUCAGUCAUGACAGGAAAACUUUGCAUUCUAAGGUCAGAUUGUAUUCAUGGGAGCCCACAGUUCUUAGAUGUAAAAUGACGAAGAUACAAGAUCUUUAGGACCCAUGGGUCAUUCUUAAUAACAAGAUGAUUGUUUUUACCAAUGUUUCACAAAAUAAACCUAACAGCUCUUAUUUUCAAGCUGAGGGUGCAGCAUUGUUUUGGACAGAAAGUGUAUAAAGCUGAUGCAAAUGAGAGUUUUAAGUGUUUCUUUUUA